AUGGAGUUAAGUUUGUCUCAUACGCUUCAUCUUUUUAAUAUCUUUCGUGAGAAUGAUGGAAAGGAAAAUUGUGCUCAAGUGCUAGAAGAAGAAUUACAUAGAAUGCUUUGCAUAAAAUAUGUGAAUGAUGAGCAUGAUUGCAAUGUUGUUAGUAUGAAUUCCCUGAAUACCCAUGAUGCUAAUGAUAUGCAAAGCCACAAGCUUGGGGAAGCUAUGUUUGAUGGAGAUGAUAUUUUUUGUCCCCCAAGCUUUGAUGAGCAAAUUUACUAUGAUGAAAGCAUGCCUCCUAUCUAUGAUGAUUAUUGUGAUGACAUCUUGUGA
This 321-nucleotide ribosomal RNA is filed under the name Triticum aestivum (bread wheat). RNAcentral describes it as "partial small subunit ribosomal RNA". The record is from RNAcentral. Lineage: Eukaryota; Viridiplantae; Streptophyta; Magnoliopsida; Poales; Poaceae.